This 73-nucleotide transfer RNA is filed under the name Solanum tuberosum (potato). It matches the Rfam family "tRNA". From Rfam's summary of the family: Transfer RNA (tRNA) molecules are approximately 80 nucleotides in length. Lineage: Eukaryota; Viridiplantae; Streptophyta; Magnoliopsida; Solanales; Solanaceae. The record is from Rfam by way of RNAcentral.
UCCACAUUAGCUCAGUUGAUAGAACGGUCAGUUGUUAAUCGAGUGGACGUAGGUUCGAAUCCUACUUGGAGAG